GACGAACGCUGGCGGCGUGCUUAACACAUGCAAGUCGAGCGGAAAGGCCCCUUCGGGGGUACGCGAGCGGCGAACGGGUGAGUAUCACGUGAGUAAUCUGCCCUUGGCUUCGGGAUAGCUGCGGGAAACCGAAAUUAAUACCGGAUACGACGCGGUCUCGCAUGAUAUCCGUUCGGAAAGGUUUUUCGGCCAGGGAUGUGCUCGCGGCCUAUCAGCUUGUUGGUGGGGUAAUGGCCUGCCACGGCGUCGACGGGGAGUCGGCCUGAGAGGGGGACCGGCCACACUGGGACUGAGAAAAGGACCAGACUCCUGCGGGAGGCAGCAGUGGGGAAUACUGGACAAUGGGCGGAAGCCUGAUCCAGCGACGCCGCGGGAGAGAUGACGGCCUUCGGGUUGUAAACCUCUUUCAACACCGACGAAGCGCAAGUGACGGUAGGUGGGGAAGAAGGACCGGCCAACUACGUGCCAGCAGCCGCAGUAA
Molecule: ribosomal RNA, 481 nt
Filed under: uncultured bacterium
Lineage: Bacteria
Description: partial 16S ribosomal RNA
Rfam family: Bacterial small subunit ribosomal RNA
Source: RNAcentral